This 505-nucleotide ribosomal RNA is filed under the name uncultured bacterium. RNAcentral's name for it is "partial 16S ribosomal RNA". It matches the Rfam family "Bacterial small subunit ribosomal RNA", at positions 28 to 507 of the family's 1533-position model. The record is from RNAcentral.
GACGAACGCUGGCGGCGUGCCUAAUACAUGCAAGUAGAACGCACAGUUUAUACCGUAGCUUGCUACACCAUAGACUGUGAGUUGCGAACGGGUGAGUAACGCGUAGGUAACCUGCCUGGUAGCGGGGGAUAACUAUUGGAAACGAUAGCUAAUACCGCAUAAUAUUGAUUAUUGCAUGAUAAUUGAUUGAAAGAUGCUAUUGCAUCACUACCAGAUGGCCCUGCGUUGUAUUAGCUAGUAGGUGAGGUAACGGCUCACCUAGGCGACGAUACAUAGCCGACCCGGGAGGGUGAUCGGCCAAACUGGGACUGAGACACGGCCCAGACUCCUACGGGAGGGAGCAGUAGGGAAUCUUCGGGAAUGGACGAAAGUCUGACCGAGCAACGCCGCGUGAGUGAAGAAGGUUUUCGGAUCGGAAAGCUCUGUUGUAAGAGAAGAACGGGUGUGAGAGUGGAAAGUGCACACUGUGACGGUAUCUUACCAGAAAGGGACGGCUAACUACGUG